ACCAAGGUAAAAAGGUCGGUCGCCACGUGAGCUAGAUCAUAUGUGGCGGACAGACCUUGGGACCUGUCCCAAUAUGAGCAUAAAAGUGGGAUAUUAAUCCCACGAUAUGCGAAUAGUGGGUAGGAUUGCGGGAGUGCAACGCACGUAGCAAUCCGUGGGUAU
This 162-nucleotide small RNA is filed under the name human gut metagenome. Its description in RNAcentral is "Clostridiales-1 RNA". It matches the Rfam family "Clostridiales-1 RNA". The record is from RNAcentral.